Molecule: ribosomal RNA, 766 nt
Filed under: uncultured Russula
Lineage: Eukaryota; Fungi; Basidiomycota; Agaricomycetes; Russulales; Russulaceae
Description: partial 28S ribosomal RNA
Rfam family: Eukaryotic large subunit ribosomal RNA
Source: RNAcentral
GAAUCCCGUCUUUGGCAUGGAUGACCGGGGCUUUUGUGAUGCGCUCUCGAAGAGUCGAGUUGUUUGGGAAUGCAGCUCAAAAUGGGUGGUGAACUCCAUCUAAAGCUAAAUAUUGGCGAGAGACCGAUAGCGAACAAGUACCGUGAGGGAAAGAUGAAAAGCACUUUGGAAAGAGAGUGAAACAGUACGUGAAAUUGUUGAAGGGGAAACGCUUGAAGUCAGUCGCGUCGGCCGAGACUCAGCCUUGCCUCGGCUUGGUGUACUUCUUGACCGACGGGUCAGCAUCAAUUUUGCCCCUUGGAUAAUGGCGAGGGAAAUGUGACACCUUUAUAGGUGUGUUAUAGUCUCUCGUCGCAUGCAAGGGUCGGGAUUGAGGAACUCAGCACGCGCCUUCGGGCGUCGGGGCCUUGCCCACGAUACGUGCUUAGGAUGUUGGCGUAAUGGCUUUAAACGACCCGUCUUGAAACACGGACCAAGGAGUCUAACAUGCCCGCGAGUGUUCGGGUGGAAAACCCGUGCGCGCAAUGAAAGUGAAAGUUGGGACCUCUGUCGCGGAGGGCACCGACGCCCGGACCAGAGCUUCUGCGACGGAUCUGCGGUGGAGCGUGUAUGUUAGGACCCGAAAGAUGGUGAACUAUGCCUGAAUAGGGUGAAGCCAGAGGAAACUCUGGUGGAGGCUCGUAGCGAUUCUGACGUGCAAAUCGAUCGUCAAAUUUGGGUAUAGGGGCGAAAGACUAAUCGAACCAUCUAGUAGCUGGUUCCUGCC